GUUGAUGUCACCGAUGUUGUAGAUGGAAAUUAUUGAGUGGAAAUUUAUAUACAUUAUUAGACCUAACCAGGAACAGCCAUGAAAAUGCAACUUUAGGCCUCUGGCAAGAAUCGAACCUGUGGCCCUGCAGCGCUCUAACCGACUGAGCUAUAUAGAGGCUUGUUGCCGAGCUCUAACCACAAGUACUGCCAUGUGUAGGUUAUGGGUAAAUAUCAAGAUUUUGUUGGCUCAAUUCUCUAUUUAGACAUAUAUAUGUGUUUGUUUUCAUAGAUAUUUGGACAUGUGCAGUAGAGGCAUAAAUAAAUCUAAGUAACUUUUGACACACUUUAAGCAACCUUGGUAGAAACAAAAUAAAACUUAGUGACCAAGAACAAAUAUGUAUAUGGCGGAAGAUGUUUGACCAACCUUCUCUGGCUAGAUAUUUUUAUUUACAAGCUUUCUGCUGUCAGACCUGUAGCCUUCAACGUGUGAAAGAAUAUAAGAGGAACAAAAAAAAUAUGUGAAAGAAUAUUAAUAUAAAGAACAAAAAGAAUAUAAAGGGAUGAAAAGAAAAAGAAUAUAAAGGCUAUUAAAAAAAUUUAAAAAUAAAAGAGUAAAUAAAAAGUCUAGCUACAGCAUUCAUGUUAUUAUAAGUAAUAGCAUGGCAUUCAGGGCGAUUAGUGAUUAAAUGUACCCGAAAGCCGAGAGAGGUUUAGUAAGCGCCGAGGGACUUUUAGUAAACCUCUCGAGGCUUGAGGGACAUUUCAUCACUAAUCGAUCGUAAUGCCAUGCUAUUACUUUGUAAUAUCAUAGUUAACGAGGGAAUCGCGCGUGGUGUGUUGCCUGUUUUGAAUGCUGUUUGAUUGUCUUAUGAUUGUGGUACGAACACUUUUCAUAUAUACGCACGCGCAAAAACACAUCUCCGCGUUCAUUGGCGUUUUAGGCAUGCGCAUAAACGUAAUUUUCUCCCACAAUUGAAAUGUUCAAGAUUAGGGAAUAAAAGCUGGCAAAGUGAUUGUUCGAAUGUGUACGGGACGGUGUCGUCAGAUACUGUCCAUAGUUGUGCCGAUGAUUUUCGAUGAGGUACAGCUCUCCAAUCAGAGGUAAUGAGGUACGCUUUUGUCUUCUAAAUUUCCCUCAUCAAGCAUGCAGGGGAAAAUUAGAAGACAAAGAAAUCCUUUGUUUUCAACUAAAUUUCCCUCAUCAAGCAUGCAGGGGAAAAUUAGAAGACAAAGAAAUCCUUUGUUUUCAACUAAAUUUCCCAGGGAAAUUUAGAAGAUAAAAGCGUAUGCAUGCAUGGGUAAUGAGGGAAAUACGUGAUUAAACGUCCCUGUUGAAACAAAAGAAACCGAGUUAACUAUGAUAUUAUUCAUUAAGAACGAAUAUCUCACACAUUCUCGAUGAAUAACAAUCUUACUAGCAAUGUUGUGAACUCGGUUGUUAAUUUUAUGUGUGAUAUAAUGGAUUAGGUAACAAGAACUUGUUAUUUCGGUCGUUAGCUGCAGAAGCAGUGACAGAUAAAUUAUUGCAUAAUGUCGGGUGCAAAUUUAAGUCACCAACAUGUAUGGAGUGCCAAAGCGGUC
RNAcentral lists this long non-coding RNA (1562 nucleotides) under Paramuricea clavata. Lineage: Eukaryota; Metazoa; Cnidaria; Anthozoa; Malacalcyonacea; Plexauridae. The record is from RNAcentral.